RNAcentral lists this ribosomal RNA (273 nucleotides) under uncultured bacterium. RNAcentral describes it as "partial 16S ribosomal RNA". It matches the Rfam family "Bacterial small subunit ribosomal RNA", at positions 523 to 796 of the family's 1533-position model. The record is from RNAcentral.
CUACGUAUGUCGCAAGCGUUAUCCGGAAUUAUUGGGCGUAAAGCGAGUCUAGGCGGCUUGUUAAGUCAGAUGUGAAAAUGCGGGGCUCAACUCCGUAUUGCGUUUGAAACUGGCAGGCUAGAGUACUGGAGAGGUGGGCGGAACUACAAGUGUAGAGGUGAAAUUCGUAGAUAUUUGUAGGAAUGCCGAUAGUGAAGACAGCUCACUGGACAGAUACUGACGCUAAAGCUCGAAAGCGUGGGGAGCGAACAGGAUUAGAAACCCUAGUAGUCC